This 505-nucleotide ribosomal RNA is filed under the name uncultured bacterium. Its description in RNAcentral is "partial 16S ribosomal RNA". It matches the Rfam family "Bacterial small subunit ribosomal RNA", at positions 28 to 507 of the family's 1533-position model. The record is from RNAcentral.
GACGAACGCUGGCGGCGUGCCUAAUACAUGCAAGUAGAACGCACAGUUUAUACCGUAGCUUGCUACACCAUAGACUGUGAGUUGCGAACGGGUGAGUAACGCGUAGGUAACCUGCCUGGUAGCGGGGGAUAACUAUUGGAAACGAUAGCUAAUACCGCAUAAUAUUAAUUAUUGCAUGAUAAUUAAUUGAAAGGUGCAAUUGCACCACUACCAGAUGGACCUGCGUUGUAUUAGCUAGUAGGUGAGGUAACGGCUCACCUAGGCGACGAUACAUCGCCGACCUGGGAGGGUCAUCGGCCACACUGGGACUGAGACACGGCCCAGACUCCUACGGGAGGCAGCAAUAGGGAAUCUUCGGCAAUGGACGAAAGUCUGACCGGGCAACGCCGCGGGAGUGAAGAAGGUUGUCGGAUCGGAAAGCUCCGUUGUACGAGAAGAACGGGUGUGAUAGUGGAAAGUUCACACUGUGACGGUAUCUUACCAAAAAGGGACGGCUAACUACGUG